Molecule: non-coding RNA, 27 nt
Filed under: Mus musculus (house mouse)
Lineage: Eukaryota; Metazoa; Chordata; Mammalia; Rodentia; Muridae
Source: RNAcentral
UAGACUAGCUCCCCAGGUGCCUCAGGA